GGGGUGCAGCGCGGCGCGGGGGCUGAAGGCGGCGGGCUCCAGUGCGGGCGCGGACACGCGCAGCGCCGGCCCCGAGCCCCACGAGCACCACACGUCUGUGGAACACAGCAGAUACAACCUCACUUUAUCUAACAGAGCCAUGACGACUUCUGAAUGGCGGUCCCCACCCGUGCGGACUCCUAGUACUCCUAGUAGUGCGGCACCAGUAUAUCGAGACCUACCUCGACGAGCAUGUUGGCGGCGAGCCCGUGCCAGUCGUCGGGCGCCAGGCCGCGCUGCGCCCACCACGACUCCUCGCGCGCCUCCCGCCGCCACAGCGCGCUCAGCUCCGCGGCCGACGCUUCGAUCGCCCGCUGCGCACGACAACGAGGUUAUAGCGAGACAGUGGACACGUCCGGCGCCCGCAAAGCACGCGACGCGACUGCGCCGGGGACUAUCCAAUACCCACAGUCAGAGGAGAGUGCGCCGGUUACCCUGAGGUCCCGCGGGGAGAGCCGCGCCCGCGCCCGCGCCGCGUCCGACAGCGGCAGCGCCAGCUCCCGGCGCCGCGCCGCCACCUUGUCCCGCAGCGAGCCCGCCAGCGACCCGC
Long non-coding RNA from Bombyx mori (domestic silkworm), 589 nucleotides. RefSeq lists it as uncharacterized. The transcript has 3 exons. The record is from RefSeq and is a predicted model, not a curated record. NCBI's taxonomy places the organism in Eukaryota, Metazoa, Arthropoda, Insecta, Lepidoptera, Bombycidae.